Molecule: ribosomal RNA, 274 nt
Filed under: uncultured bacterium
Lineage: Bacteria
Description: partial 16S ribosomal RNA
Rfam family: Bacterial small subunit ribosomal RNA
Source: RNAcentral
AUACGGAGGGUGCAAGCGUUAAUCGGAAUUACUGGGCGUAAAGCGCGCGUAGGCGGUUUGAUAAGUCGGAUGUGAAAUCCCCGGGCUCAACCUGGGAAUUGCAUUCGAUACUGUCAGGCUAGAGUGUGGUAGAGGGAAGUGGAAUUUCCGGUGUAGCGGUGAAAUGCGUAGAUAUCCGGAGGAACACCAGUGGCGAAGGCGGCUUCCUGGACCAAUUCUGACGCUGAGGUGCGAAAGCGUGGGGAGCAAACAGGAUUAGAAACCCUAGUAGUCC